GGCGCAACUGGUUUCGACGGGGAUGUCGAAACGGGACGUUGCAUGCCGGGGGCCCGUACCCCGUAGCAAACGGGAAACUAAUAGUCGCCAACGACUACAACUACGCCCUGGCUGCUUAAUGCGGCCAGCGUCUCUUGGCGUUUUUGCCUGUGGGGCUCUUUGAGACGUACACACACGCAGGCUGGCCGUUUGCGGCCGGUUUUCCCGCAAGCGGUGAGAUUCAGAAAGCCUGGUUCCGGAAAAUCCUGCCUGUCGGAGUUUCCGGAAUAAGAUUCAGUAGAUAGGACAAGCAUGUAGGAGCUUCCCGUCUAGUAUCUUCGGACGCGGGUUCGACUCCCGCCGCCUCCACCA
This 351-nucleotide transfer-messenger RNA is filed under the name Deltaproteobacteria bacterium. RNAcentral describes it as "partial transfer-messenger RNA". It matches the Rfam family "transfer-messenger RNA". Rfam says of the family: Bacterial tmRNA, also known as 10Sa RNA or SsrA, is named for its dual tRNA and mRNA-like properties. The record is from RNAcentral. Lineage: Bacteria; Pseudomonadati; Myxococcota; Myxococcia.